UAAUAGACAAUGGAUGCAAGGAAGUUUCUCAUAUGAUGAUAAACUUCAAUUAGAAGGACAACUCUAGUGAGACUAAGAAGUUGCUCUUCUCAAAGGGAACGUGCCCUUUGACUCCCAAAGAAAUAAUGCGUAAAUAGAAUCCUUUAUGCAUACGCAGAAAAGGUGAUUUAUGUAUUUCAUAUUGUAUGAAAAACAUUGAUAUGAGUUG
This 208-nucleotide long non-coding RNA is filed under the name Malus domestica (apple). RNAcentral's name for it is "long non-coding RNA (MDOM_LNC020954)". Lineage: Eukaryota; Viridiplantae; Streptophyta; Magnoliopsida; Rosales; Rosaceae. The record is from RNAcentral.